RNAcentral lists this ribosomal RNA (69 nucleotides) under Staphylococcus equorum. Lineage: Bacteria; Bacillati; Bacillota; Bacilli; Caryophanales; Staphylococcaceae. The record is from RNAcentral.
UCUGGUGACAAUGGCAAGGAGGUCACACCUGUUCCCAUGCCGAACACAGUAGUUAAGCUCCUUAGCGCC